AAAAAGACAAACCCUGGGUUUCCGUGUCCAACUUUGACUAUCCGUCUUAUAUGAAUUUUUUUUUAUAAUUCGUAUUUUUAUUGUUGUUAGAUGAUAAAACAUGAUUAAUAUUUUAUGCGUGACUUAUCUUUUUAAUUUUUUUUAUAAUUUUUUUAAAUAAGACGGACGGUCAAACGUUGGGCACGGAAACCAGGGUUUGUCUUUUU
Molecule: microRNA precursor, 206 nt
Filed under: Oryza sativa Japonica Group (Japanese rice)
Lineage: Eukaryota; Viridiplantae; Streptophyta; Magnoliopsida; Poales; Poaceae
Description: MIR812 microRNA precursor family
Rfam family: MIR812 microRNA precursor family
Source: Rfam by way of RNAcentral